GACGAACGCUGGCGGCGUGCUUAACACAUGCAAGUCGAGCGGAAAGGCCACUUCGGUGGUACUCGAGCGGCGAACGGGUGAGUAACACGUGAGUAAUCUGCCCCUGGCUUUGGGAUAGCCACCGGAAACGGUGAUUAAUACCGGAUACGACCACUUCUCGCAUGGGAUGGUGGUGGAAAGUUUUUUCGGCCAGGGAUGUGCUCGCGGCCUAUCAGCUUGAUGGUGAGGUAAUGGCUCACCAUGGCUUCGACGGGUAGCCGGCCUGAGAGGGUAACCGGUCACACUGGGACUGAGACACGGCCCAGACUCGUACGGGAGGCAGCAGUGGGGAAUAUUGGACAAUGGGCGGAAGCCUGAUCCAGCAACGCCGCGUGAGGGAUGACGGCCUUCGGGUUGUAAACCUCUUUCAGCAGGGACGAAGCGCAAGUGACGGUACCUGCAGAAGAAGCACCGGCCAACUACGUGCCAGCCGCCGCGGUAA
This 481-nucleotide ribosomal RNA is filed under the name uncultured bacterium. Its description in RNAcentral is "partial 16S ribosomal RNA". It matches the Rfam family "Bacterial small subunit ribosomal RNA", at positions 28 to 523 of the family's 1533-position model. The record is from RNAcentral.